RNAcentral lists this long non-coding RNA (644 nucleotides) under Vulpes vulpes (red fox). RNAcentral describes it as "lncRNA (ENSVVUG00000025087.1)". The record is from RNAcentral. Lineage: Eukaryota; Metazoa; Chordata; Mammalia; Carnivora; Canidae.
CAUACACCACAGCCAUAGCCCAGCUCCUGAGCAUGUCUUCAGGAAAUCUUCUCCUGAUAACAUGCUAUUAAGGCCAACAGUUCGUUGUAUUAGAGGUCUGUAACCCUGUUUACAGCACAUACGUGGUGAAUAGGCCGGAGAGAUAGAUACAGAUAGAGGGCCACUGAGGAGAAUGGUUGCUAGAGUUCACUGUGUGUGUGUGUGUGUGUGUGUGUGUGUGUGUGUGUGUGUGUCUGAUUACUGCCCAGUGUGGCUGACACUUUCUGUGCCCACAGCCACCAGCAGAUGCCACCAGAUUGCUCCUGAAAUAAUCAGUUAUACAUGCCAAACUUAAUGAGCAGAAGACAAAUCAGAGGACGAGCUCUUCCAUGCACAGGGAGGGAUUCACAGAGAUUGAGCAGGAAAAUCAGUUUAAUUACAAGAGAAACCAGAAGAAUGAGGCGACAAUCAGGAAAACAUCGGGGACCAGGACAGCUGACCGAGCCCGCGGCAUCCCCCCAAAUCCUUCCCAGAAAUGCUAUGCAAACUCAUGCCGACGUUUGUGCUCAUGGGCUGUGAAUUUCUUCUGCCAACCUGAGCUGAAAGAAGCUAGAAAACUCUGCGUAUUUUACUUUCAGAGUUAAUGGGAAUAAAAUACCUCAGUG